CAAAGAGGCUGGGAGGAGAAGCUGCAGUUAGAUUGUUUGCCAAGCUUGGACUCCUGGAAGCUUCUGUUGACCAUGCUGCAGACAAUUGAAGCGGAGACAAGAAUGAAGAAAUUCAGUAAAGGAAGAUUCUUGGAAGGACAUGAUAGAGUGGUAAGAAUAAAUUAACUGCUCCUAUUCCCUAGGGGCUCAGAACAGUGUUUUAGUUUUGGCCAUUCUAAGAAGGGUAGAGAGGGAACAGAUUGUAAAGCUAGCACUGCAGACUGUAGAACUGAGUAGUUCUAGCUACUUGGGAGGCUUAGGCAGGAGAACUGCUUGAACCUGGGAGAUAGAGGCUGCGGUGAGCCAAGAUCGUGCCACUGCACUUCAGCCUGGGCAACAGAGUGAGACUCUGUCUCACAAAAUAAAAUAAAAAGUUAACAGGAAGAAGGCUACUGGACUAUAGGAGAGGUGGUAGACUGCUUAUGAAAGAAAAAAGUAAUCAAAGGCCCAAGAAGGAAGUUUGUCUAGAAAAGUAAGGACUAACCCAAGAGGAGGAAAUUAGGGAAAGGGUGAAAUUAACUAUGUAAACCUCUCUGAAAGCUCUCCCCAAACCUUUGGAAACCUAGCUCACCAGUACACUUUCCUCCCUUGAGUUUACACCCCCUUUUCCCUUUUUCCCUCAUAUCCCCCCCUGCAUCCUGUCCCUCUUUUCUGUUACCUGUUCCAAAAAGAUCAUUUCGACCAGUUUGUGGUUCUUUCUCAGCAUGGCUAAACGUGCUUGGACCUGAAAGUCUGUCCCUUCUCCACCUGUGGGGAAAAAGGAGGCUCUGGUUUUUCUGUAGUUGCUGUAUUCUAUCUUGUGAGGGCUGAGAUUAGAAGGCCAGAUGGAUGUAGACAAUAAAAGACCUUAUGAAUCAACAGGAAGUUAAAAAAGAAAGAAAGAAAGAAAAGAUUUGGGGAGGUAAAACACUUCAUAGAGCUUAAAGGUUUGAGGUUCAGCGACUCUGAAAUGGUCUGACUGGAGGGUAGAGGUGGAGUGAGCAGGGUAAAGGAAACUAGGGAUGGCUGGAAAGCUAGGAAUCAUGGGGCUGAAUACUACAAGAAAUCAGUUUGGGAGACGGAAUGAAUCAGGAGCAUAAUACUUGCAUAUUCCCGGGAUACUUGAUCUGCAAUCUCAUUGGUCUCAUGCAGGAAUUGAGCUUUUGCUACUUGACCCAAAGCAGAAAAGCACCUAUGGCAUGGAAGCAAAGACAUUAAUAUAAUAUUAUUACAGAAUCGUCAUUAAUUCAUUGGUUCAGCAAAUACAAAUUGAUGUGCAUCUAUCAUGUGCCAGGCAGUGUGCUUGUCACUGGAGACACUUAGGAGAAAGGGAAGAUGAGGGCCUUACUCUCAAGAGAACUUCCAUUCUAAUAGAGACAAAUAAUUAGUAGAAGUAGAGAUAAUAAAAAAUAAAGUAAUAUAAUACAAUAGAUCAAGCUUGCUCAACCCAUGGCCCAAGAUGGCUCUGAAUGUGGCCCAACUCAAAUUCAUAAACCUUCUUAAGAUAUUAUGAGAUUUUUUUAUUCUCUUCCUUUUUUUUUUUUUAAGCUCAUCAGCUAUCAUUAGUGUUAGUGUAUUUUAUGUGUGGCCAGAGGUGAUAAUUCUUCCAAUGUGGCCCAGGGAAGCCAAAAGAUUGGAUGCCCCUGUUAUAAUGACUGAAGGGGCCACUUUAGUUGGUAGUUGGAGAAGGUCUCCCUGAUGAACUAAUUUGAGCUGAAACCCGAAUACAAGAAAAAGCCAGUCAUGGCAGGAUGGGCAAAAGUCAUUCCUGAGAGGGAACAGCUAGUGUAAAGGCCCUGUAGCAGGUAUGAGCUUAGCAUGCUCACAGAGUCUGAAGGAUGCCAGUGUGGUUGGAGACUAAUGGGCAAGUAGGGGGCUGGCAUGAGAAGGAAGCAGAGGCCAAAAACUUUCAGGGCUGAGGCCACACAAGGAGUCUGGGUUUCUCACCAAGUAAAAGAGUAGGCUAUUGGAAUAUUCCCGUCAUGAAAAAGACUCAAUCUGUGUUUUAAAAAAUUACCUCAGCUGCUCUGAAUGAACAGAUGGUAGGGGUACAAGAAACAGUAUCAGCAAGACUAAUUAAGAGGCUGUGCAAUAUUGCAGGUAGGAGAUGGCGGUGGUCUGCACUAGGAUGGAGACAUCAGGAUGUGUUUUGAAGAGAGUCUUUAGGACUUGCUGAUAAUCUAUCUACAUGUGGGAAGUAUGGGGAAAAUGGGAUCAAGGAUGAUUCCCACCUGCUGCCAGGUGACAUUUAUUGAGCACUUUGCACAGAUUCUCUCAUCACUCCUUCUCUACCAAUACCCUUACCAUCUUCUUUAUCAUCAGAUGAGGCAAAUACUAUUAUUAUCCCUAUUGUACACAGAGAAAAUAAAGAAGCCAAGGUUUGGAAAGGUCAAAUAACCUCUCUAAGGUUAUACAAGUUGGUAAUUGGAACCAAGAUUUGAACUCAAGGAGUCUGGAGUCCCAAGAUUGUCCUAUUAACUACACUCCGAUACUAAACCUGGAUUAUACACAUAUGCAUGGGUUGAAGGGUAUGAAUAGUAAAACAUGUUAAGGGGAACCUAGUCAAGAAGGGGCAGUAAAAAUAAUAGAAGACAUACUCUUGUUUUUUGACUUUUUUUUUUUCUGAGAUAAGGUCUCACUCUGUCACCCAGGCUGGAGUGCAGUGGUAUGACCUCAGCUCACUGCAACCUUCGCCUCCUGGGUUCAAGCGAAUCCUGUGCCUCAGCCUGCUGAGUAGCUGAGACCACAGGUGCACACCACCCUGCCUGGCUAAUUUCUGCAUUUUUAGAAAAGUUGGGGUUUUGCCAUGUUGGCCAGUCUGGUCUCAAACUCCUGGAUCAAGUGAUCCCCCUGCCUCGGCCUCUUAAAGUGCUAGGAUUACAGGCGUGAGCCACUGUGCCUGGCCAAGACAUACCGUUAUAAUCUAGGAUGGGAGAGUGUUUGGAAUAUUGUAAUGCAGAAAGGCUCUAUGUUAUUUGCUGGCAGUGGGAAGGGAAGCAGAGCCUUAACACUGGGUUGGAGCGGCCCACAGGGAAAAUACUCAUGGUCAUCCCUCCUAGCUGCCUGGACCUCUGUUCUACACCUCACCUCUCCGCAAUGUGUAGUUGCCUUGCUUCUAGCGCCAGUUGACACAAGGUUUUCCACAGUGCCUCUGUUUCUGGGGUCAUUUCCAGAGUCUCUAAGAAGGCUGUUGCCCUGGAAAGGGAAGGAAGCAAAGCAAAAGGAAUGAGGGACGAGUCAGGAAGACGCAGCAGAAGACUGGUGAUGGGGCAGGGGGAGGGGGAAGGGCCAUUUUUGUCUCAUCUCCUCCCAGGAUCACUGGAUCCUUAUCAGUUUUGGCCAGUUUUACACCCCACCCCAGGUCCUUCCCUCUCAGAACCAGACUCUCCCACCACCUCACUGGUUAUUGUCCAGCCUCUCACUGGGUGUAGUUGCCAUCAUCAAUGGCUGUUCCAAACUCCAUGAGGCCUUCAUCCAGUGUGUAGGCAACAGUAGUCACACCUUCCAUCACCAGCACCUCGGUCUUUCCCCCACCCCGCUCCAGACCUAUAACAUCACCCUGUAAAAGGUCAUCCCCGACCUCACCCCAAUUUCAGGUUAGUUUCCACUGAAUCAAUUAUAGAACAGACUCGCCCUCAUCCAACCCAGUGCUCAAGAGUCACAGCAGUCCUGAUUUUCCUAACAUUUUAGUCUCUCUCAAGCAUUAAAAACAUACUUUAUUUGUAGUGAUAUCCUUGGGUUAAAGUGUACUCCUAACCGUGACAGCACCAAUUCCUAGAGGCACAAAGUGUGGCAUCCACUUCUGCUUACAGCAGUGCCGUAAGAGUAGAUAUUCUUAAGGGUUCUCUUGUUAAAAUACAGCUUGAACCUAGAACAUACUUUUUAAUGCAUUGCUUGCGCUUACUUGAAGAAAUCACUAAGAAUGUUCCCUACCCAUAUCCUACCCUUCUCUCUCAAAAAAGGACAGACAGAAAGAAAAAGGUCAAUAAGCGAAAUCCUGAGCAAGAAAAACAGGAAAGUGAGCAAAUGGGAAAGGUACAGUUGUCCUGAACGCAAAUGGAGUGUCAGGAGAAUAAACCUCAGGCCCUCCAGCGGGAUGGGGAGGCUGAAUUUGAGAGUCCUUAAUUGAACCUGGGACCCACUCUUUAGUAAAGGCGACAAAAGUAAUGGUUACAGAUCAUUAAUAUGCCUGAUUCCUGCAGAAGCAAGACCAGAUCAUCACUGGAGAACAUAUCCAUCUUAGGCCCUCAGGAUUCCAAAAGAACACAUUCAAAGUAACUUGAGCUCACAAUUAAAAAAAAAAUACAAGGAAGCAAACCACUAGGAUAGAGUAAAUAAUAACUGAAAACAACAGUUUUAGACCUUCGAGAAUUUCAGAUAUUAAAAAUAACAGUUAAAGGCUGGGCUUGGUGGCUCAUGCCUAUAAACCCAGCACUUGGCGAGACCAAGGUGGGAGGAUCACUUGAGCUCAGGAGUUUAAGACCAGCCUGGGCAACAUAGCAAGACCUCAGCUCUACUGAAAAAAAAAAAAAAAAAAAGAGCCAGGUGUGGUUGCAGGUACUGGUAGUCCCAGCUACUCAGGAAGCUGAGGUGAGAGGAUCAUUUGAGCCCAGGAGUUUGAGCCUGCAGUGAGCUAUGAUCAUGCCACUGCACAGCCUGGAUGACAGAGUGGGACACUGUUUUUUGUUUUGUUUUGUUUUAAAAAGCCUAGUUAUGGAAUUUAAAAUGAUUAUGAAAUACCUAAAUAUCUCAAAAGAUGAAAUGAAAAUUUAAGCAAGGAAUAAGAAAUUAUCCAUAUGGCCAGACAGACUGGAGAAAUCAAAUAAGAAAAAUUUAAUGUUUGAGGUACAAAACUCAAUGGACAGUUUAAAUAGCAGAUUAGACAAUGAUGAAAAGCAAAUUAAUGAAUCAAAACAGAUCUAAAGAAAUUACCCAGAGGCCAGAUGCAGUGGCUCACACCUGUAAUCCCAGCACUUUGGGAGGCUGAGGAGGGUGGAUCAUGAGGUCAGGAGUUCUAGACCAUCCUGGCCAACAUAGUGAAACCCCAUCUCUACUAAAAAUACAAAAGUUAGCUGAGCAUGGUGACACAUUCCUGUAACCCCAGCUACUCGGGAGGCUGAGGUAGGAGAAUUGUUUUAACCAGGGAGUUGGAGGUUGCAGUGAGCUGAGAUCGUGCCUCUGCACUCCAGCCUGGGCAACAGAGCAAGACGCUGUCUCAAAAAAAAAAAAAAAGCUGAAUUAAAGAAGUUAAGUAAGGCCACAUGGUGGUACAUGCCUGUAACCCGUGUACUUUGGGAGGCCAGAAUGGGAGUAUUACUUGAGCUUAGGAGUUUUAGACCACCCUGGGAAACAUGAUGAGACCUUGUCUCUACAAAAAAUUUAAAAAUUAGCCAGGUGUGGUAGCAUGCACCUGUGCUCACAGCUACUCAGGAAGCUGAAGUAGGAGGAUUGCUUGAGCCCAGGAGGUUGAGACUGCAGUAAGCUGUGAUCACACCACUGCACUCCAGCCUGGACAACACAGUGAGACCUUGUCUCAAAAAAAAAUAAAAUAAAAAGGAAGAGAGAAAUGGAUUGCCCAAGUUUUCAUAGGUAGAAUAUACUCACGUGGAGGAAUUCCAGCUCAGGCAGUCGGAUUCUAGCACCUCUUACUAUACUCUGUGUAGUUACUGUUUUGACCCAUAUGGGAUCAGAUACAAGGACUUUGAAAGGGGCCUACCUACAGCCUGUCUCCUAGUCAUAAACUGAGGCAGGAGUUAGAUGGUAAGGUGGUCAAGGCUAAAGUCUGUGGCCAGGGGCAGAGGUAAUGAGGGCCUCAGCAGCCCUGUGCUCUGGCAUAUUCAUACUAUGCCAUUUAUUUAAUAUUGCUUAUUUAUGCCAGUGCAGUGGCUCACGCCUGUAAUCCCACCACUUUGGGAGGCUGAGGCAGGUGGAUCACGAGGUCAGUAGUUCGAGAUCAACCUGACCAAGAUGGUGGAAACUUGUAUCUACUAAAAAUACAAAAAAAUGCCGGGCGCAGUGGCGCGUGCCUGUAGUCCCAGCUAGUUGGGAGGCUGAGGUGGGAGGAUUGCUUGAGCCCAGGAGUUCUGGGCUGUCUGCACUAAGCCCAGAACUCCUGCACUAAGUUCAGCAUCAAUAUGGUGACCUCCAGGGAGUAGAGGACCACCAGGUUGCUUAAGGAGGGGUGAACUGGCCCAGGUUGGAAACGGAGCAGGUCAAAACUCCCGUGCUGAUCAGUAGUGGGAUCAUGCCUGUGAAUAACCAUUGCACUCCAGCCUGAGUAACACAGUGAGGCCCCAUCUCUAAAAAAAAAAUACAAAAAAUUAGCCGGGGCAUGGUGGCAUACACCUGUAAUACCAGCUACUCAGGAGGCUGAGGCAGAAGAAUUGCUUGAACCCUGGAGGCGGAGGUUGCAGUAAGCCAAGAUCAUGCCACUGCACUCCAGCCUGGGUGACAGCGAGACUCUGUCUCGAAAAAGAAUUUCUUAUUUAUUAAUUAUUUAUUGAUUAAAUAGGAGGCUGGUCUCAAACUCCUGAGCUCAAGUGACUUGUCUGCCUCAUGCUCCCAGAGCACUAGGCUUACUGGUGUAAUCCACCAUGCCCAUCCAAUAUUGCAUUUUUAAAACAACCAAUAUCCCCCUGUAAUUGAUAUCAGUUCUACUAUUUGUGAGGCAUUAUUUUCCUCAAAAACGAAAUUGUCUUUGCAAUGCCAUCAGACAGAAUUGGAGAGAGAAGGGGAGAAAAAACAACAUAUUGUCUUUUGGUCUGAGCUUAUGUUCUAAAUUUUUUUCUAGCUUGUUGCUGUUAAAUGUCUUUCCUAAAAUUAUGGAGAUCAUAGAUAGUAGUCAAUUUUUAAAAAUGUGUUUACUGGCUAAGUGCUAUAGUUCAUAGCUGUAAUCCCAGUACUUUGGGAGGUGGAGGCAGGAGGGUCACUUGAGGCCAGGAAUUGGAGACCAGCUUAGGCAACAGGGUGAGACUUCAUCUCUAUAAAAAACUAGAAAAUUAGCUGGGUGUGAUGGCAUGCACCUGUAGUCCCAGCUACUUGGGAGGCUGAGGAGGCAGGAUGACUUGAGCCCAGAAGUUCGAGGCUUCAGUGAGCUUUGAUCAUGUCACUGCAUUCCAGUCUGGGUGACAGAGUGAGACCCUGUUUAAAAAUGAAACAAACUAAGCACAAAAUGUGUUUACUUACAUAAAUAAAUAGUUGAACAACUUAGGUCAGUGAUCUGUCUGUUAAAAAAAAUUGUGUUUGUGUGUAUUUUUUUUAAAGCCAGUGUCUUGCCCAGGUUAGAGUGCAGUGGCUAUUCACAGUCAUGAUUACCAUGCACAGCCUCAAACUCCUGGCCCCAAGAGAUCCUCCCACCUCAGCCUCCUGAGUGGCUGGGCCUCCAGACACACACCACCACUACUGACAAAAAAAAAAAUUAAUUUGUCCAUGAUAUCCAAAAGUUUGUGGACCACUGUGCCAGGCAUUCUUCACUGAGUUAAAAACACAAUGGUGAGUAAUACAGCAUUCUAAUUUUGAAUGUUGGCAAUGGAUACCAGCCUUGAAUCCAAACGGGAGCCAGACUACCAAAUAGGUACUGUGCUUUAUCUUGAUUGUGAAUGUGAGAAAAUGGACUUUUAUGGGAGCUAUGUUGCCCUAACAAAAUAGGCUCUGAGACUGUCGAGGUCUCAAGUAAGCAUUACUGAUCACUGGUCAAAAAAUUGCUCAUGGAAUCGAAAAUAGAAUGAUAGUUACCAGGGGUUGGGGAGAGGGGAAAAGGGAAGUGGUUGGAAGUUGUUCUUUAAUGGAUAUACAGUUUCAGUUUUGCAAAAUGAAAAACGUGUGGAGAUCUAUUGUACAACAAUGUGAAUAUACUUCACGCUAUUAAACUGUAUACUUAAAAAUGAUUUAAAAAAUUUUUUUAAAAAAUUAAGGCUCUGGGCAGUGGCUCAUGCCUGUAAUCCCAGCACUUUGGGAGGCUGAAUUUGGCAGAUCAUGAGGUCAGUAGAUCAAGACCAUCCUGGCCAACAUGGUGAAACCCCAUCUGUACUAAAAAUACAAAAAUUAACUGUGUGUGGUGGCACACACCUCUAGUCCCAGCUACUUGGGAGGCUGAGGCAGGAGAAUCACUUGAACCCAGGAGGCAGAGGUUGUAGUGAGUGGAUAUUGCACCACUGCACUCCAGCCUGGGAGACAAGGUGAGACUGUCUCAAAAAAAAAGGAAGAGUCUUGUUUUUUUUAUAAUUCCCAACUCCAGUCCCACUACCCUUAGAUAUUUACUUUUAUCUAGAAAUUGUUGUACCUACCAGCAUGGAUGCAGAGUAGGCUAGCAUGUGGAAGUCCAUUAGAGGGUGCCUUCAGGAUCAACACCUGUGGGGGAAGUGAAGGAAGCAGGACUGGGCAGAGGGACAAGUUGGAGUCUGCUACUCUUUCAGCAGAUGUUUCAGCCGACUCCAUGGGGAGCUCUGAAGCUGGGCUAGCACUUCAGGGUCAUCUGAGUCAAGGUGAGGUGGCCAGGCCUUUAUACCCCAACAUAUCAGCUGCCCUGAGAAGUGACCCUGGGUGCUCGUGCUUGCGCGCGCACGCUCUCGCGCUCCCUCUCUCUCUCUCUCUCUCUCUCUCGCUGUUGUUACCCAGACUGGAGUGCAAUGGCACGCUCUCAGCUCACUGCAACCUCCGCCUUCUGGGUUCAACCAGUUCUCCUGCCUCAGCCUCCCGAGUAGCUGGGACCACAGGCGUGCACCACCAUGCCCAGCUAAUUUUUGUAUUUUUAGCAGAGAUGGGGUUUCAUCUUGUUGGCCAGGAUGGUCUCGAUCUCUUGACCUCAUGAUCCACCCGCCUCGGCCUCCCAAAGUGCUGGGAUUAUAGGUGUGAGCCACCACGCCCGGCCUUAAAUUUUUAAUAGAGAUGGGAUUUCACCAGAUUGGCCAGACUGGUCUUAAACUCCUGACUUCAUGUGAUCUGUUUGCCUUGGCCUCCCAAAGUGCUGGGAUGAUGUUCACUUUUCUGAUUUUCUGAUGAUCUUGGGAAUAUCCCAUCUAUAUAAGUACGUAUUUAUUUCUUAUGUAAGUCAAUCAAAAAAAUACUCCUUUAAUUUAAAAGACUUCAUAAUGUAAUAUUUUGAUACCCCCGGGAGAUAGGAAAACAUCCAGUUACAAAGAAAGGUACAGUCUUUUGUAAGUUAUGCCACAUAGAUGUACAUAUACAUAGUGAGCUUAAAGCUUUGGUUCUAGGUUAGCCACAGGUUAGCCAUUGAUAAAGAAAUACCAAAACACCCUGAACUAGACAUCAAAGAGCUGUUCUCCUUCCUGGUGAGCUUGAAAUUCUUGAUUGGUUUGGCUCAAAAUAGACAGAUAGAUAAACAAAAAAGAUGAAUCAAAUUAUACAUGUUCACUUCAGUCAAGGAAAAAAUAGAUAAGACCAGGUAUAGUGGCAUACACCUAUAGUCCCAGGCUUGAGGGUUGCUCGAGCCCAGGAGUUUGAGGUCAGCCUGGGCAACAUAGUGAGAUCCUCUGGAGAAAAAAAAGAAAAGAAAACAGAUAUUUAGAAUCUCUUAACCCAAUUUUGGAGACCACCAAAUGCUCAUACAUUAAAACCAACUUCCUAAUCUUUUCUGACCCCGAUGGGAAAUAAUUUAUCAACCAUAAAAGGCGUACAUACAUAUACACACAGACGAUAGCAAGGAAAAUAAACUAGAGAAAUGGAGAGUUAUCAAAGUUAAAUUUCUAUUAUCACUUGGUGUUUAUCUCCAGGACCUAAGAAAAUAUGUGCCUGGACUCAAGUCACUUACUGGUUACAAUUUCCUGGCAAUGUAGUUUACUUGCCUCUGUCAGGUGAAUUCAUUGGGCGUCUUGGUAGAAGAUCUCCAAAAAGAUAAUUCUUAAAAAAGGUAAAAUAAUGACUCCAGUAUAUAUGUAAAAUGAACAGAUAUCUAAGAUUUUACUUAACCCAUUUAUUAAUGAAGGAACCAGUAAGCUAUCACAACCAGUUUCUUGUUUUCUAUAAUUAAAAUAUUAUAAAGCCAUUGUAUAAUGAUAUUACAAAGCCACUGUCAUCUUAUAAAGCCAUUGUAUAUGAUAUUAUAAAGCCAUUGUAUAUGAUAUUAUAAAGCCAUUUUCACAGGCAAAAAAUUGUAAGAAAAAAUAUUGUAGUGGUAUGUCAGGCAGUUAAAUGUUAUGGUAUUUGUUAACUUCAAACUUUUUUGCAUUGUUUUUAUGAAUACAAAUUUUGUACUCAAAAUUUUGUAUUAUUUUCUUUAAAUAACCCCUCUCCCUAAAUUGUAUAAGCUUUAGGCGUCACAAAACCUCCUAAAAAGAAGCAAGGCAAUCUGUGGAGGUGGAAGUAGAGAUGGGGGUCAGGGGCAGUAUGGUGCAGGUUCCUACUUCAGAAUUUAGAGAGUGAGAAAAGUUUGGAGUAAUGAUUGCAGAACUAGGCUGGAGAGUCACCAAGGAAAAGAGUGAAGUGGAGAGCUGUCAGGGGGUCCAGCUGAGGUUGCAUGGUGCAUUUUCAUUUUUUUUUUUUUUUUUUUUUUUGAGAUUGAAUCUAGCUCUGUCACCCAGUGGUGUGAUCUCGGCUCACUGCAACCUCCGUCUCCCAGGUUCAAGCCUUCCUCAGGCUCCCAAGUAGCUGGAACUAUAGGCAUGUGCCAUCAUACCUGGAUAAUUUUUGUAUUUUUGGUAGAGAUGGGGUUUCACUGUGUUGGUCAGGCUGGUCUCAAAAUCCUGAUCUCAAGUGAUCCACCUGCCUCGGCCUUUAAAAAUUCUGUGAUUACAGGAGUGAGCCACCUGGCCUGCAUCUUCAUUUUUUAUGUGAAGAACAUGGGGAAGGGAAUCUCUCCUAAAUACCAUGGUACCAUUUAGAUUUUGGGUGAGCAGUGAGGAUCAUUGUCAGAUUUAAGAUUUAAACAAUGGAUCUGACAGGUGAAGGAAUAGCUAACUUCUCUUGCAGAAUCUCAUUAACCCUUUGAUGACUUACUAACAUGUGAUCUCACUUUUCAUUGGGCCUUUGCCUUGUUCACCACUGAUUUAUCUCUUGUUGACACACCUGACCUUAUGGUGUUGGGAUUCAUACACAUGUAUGCAUAGCCUCCUCCAUGGGGACAGGUCUCUUUUCCCUCUUGGGGUAGGGUGAAGGCAGACUUACGAUCUGGCCUCAACUAGUGUUCUUAAUGCAAUCUCAGUAGUUGGGGAAGCUUCUCUUUGCUUGUGCAGUAUUUCAUUAAAUGUUUGGCCACAGAGCUGAAGUGUGGACGCUGGUGAGUGGAGAGGAAACUGUGGCCUGGCCUUUGCUUUGGGGCAGGGCUUUCCCUAAUUUCUAGGAAACUAACACUGUGGAUGGCCAAGUGGAUGAGUAGUCUCUGAAAUCAGUGGGGAGUUGCUGCUUCAACAUUGCAACCAAUGAAUGCUGAUGGCCAAACUCACAAUCCACCCUAAUACUAACACAUCACUCAAGAAGGUAAACUGACUAAUUAGGAUAGCUGGGGCACAGGAGAAAUUUUAUAAAUGUUGAUUAAUUUGAGGCUUCCUUCCAAUUCUUUUUGUAAUAUCUUGUUGUUUUCUUUACUAGAGAGUGCAGAACAUAAGCUACUCUCCUCAGUAAACACAGGCCCAUGAUAACUUGACAGAAAAGGAGUGGAGGAUGUGAACUGGAUAGAUAUGGGAUAAAGUAAUAAAAGGGUCUUUGAAUAGAGGUGGGGGGAUGUUUGUAUCUGGGAGCAAACCUCUAUUAAAGUAGACACAGAGAUCAGAAGCAACCAAGUCAAAGCUGCUUCCCACCAAGCUGUGUGGUCCUGGAUGGAUUAAUAUACAUCUACAAAGAAAAAUAUCCUCUCAUCUACUAUUUGGAAAGCAAUGUUACUAAAAUGAAAAUUAGAAUUUUCUGGCUUUGGUAAUAACCCUUCCUCUAAAGACAACUAUAAAGCUGGGAAGGAAAAGUAGUCUUAAAAGGAACAAUAAGGAAAAACAACAGUAAAGAAUUAUGAAAUUGUGGUCAGCUUGAGAAAGAUAGGCAGCUUCAGUGGCUUCUUCCCUGAGGGCGUUCAAAGACUAGGGCUAGGUUACACUUUUGGCAGGUUAGUGUAGGAAGGAGAUACAAGUUGGAGGCAGGAGGUUAAGACCUUGAGGGUUUCACCAUUUAAAAAUAUUUUUAUGCUGGGUAAAUAUUCCUAUUCCAGGGAAAAGGAUGAAAGGUAGAGUCACACACUACCUUGGUAGGGACAAGGAUAAGAGUCCAGUGCCUGUUAAUGAUGAGAAAAUUGUUGAAACACUCCCUGCUCAGGACUCAGACCUCAAAGGAAUACUGCUUUGUGUCUAAUGUUUAUGUCCCUUUCCCAAUUUAUGUGUUGAAAUCUUGACUCCAAAUCCAUCACAUUUGAUGAUAUUGGAAGGUGGGUGUAUUAGUUCAUUCUUGCAUUGCUAUAAAGAAAUACCCAAGAGUGGUUAACUUAUAAAGAAAAGAGGCUUAAUUGGCUCACAGUUCUGCAGGCUAUACAAGAAGCAUGAUGCUGGCAUCUGCUUGGCUUCUGGGGAGACCUCAGAAAACUUACAAUCAUGACAGAAGGCAAAGGGGGAGCAGGAGCAAGAGAGCAUGAGGGGGAGGUGCUACACACUUUUAAACAAGCAGAUCCCACAGUAAUUCACUCACUAUAAUGAGACCAGUUCCAAGAGGUUGGUGGUAAAUCAUUCAUGAGAAACCAACCCCAGAUUCAAUCAUCUCCCACCAGGUCCCAUCACUGACAUUGGAGGUUACAAUUUGACAUAAGAUUUGGAUGGGUACAAAGAUCCAGACCGUAUCAGUGAAGCUGUUGGGAGAUAAUUAGGUCAUAAGGAUGGAGCCCUCAGGAAAGGGAUUAAUGCCCUUAUGAGAAGUUUGCUCUCUCCCUGCUCUCUACCAUGUGAAGACAAGUAGGAAGAUGGCUAUCAGCAAACCAGGAAGAGUGCCUUCAUCAGACUCUGGAUCUAUCAGAACCUUGACCUGGAUUGUUUUAGCCUCAAGAACUGUGAGAAAUAAAUAAUUGUUGUUUAAGCCACCUAGUCUAUGGGUAAUUUGUUAUAGCAGUCCAAAUUGACUUAGACAUGUGCCCUGGGUAUGAGGAUAGGGAUUAUAUCUUGGUAUGUCAUCUUGGUAUGUCAUCUUGGUGACUCAGAAAACCUUGGGUCUCAUCAGGUACCUGGUAGAAGGGAAAAAAGUCUCUCUGAAGGAAAAUAAGACCAUCUAAGGCUUCAAACUGUUUCUAUUAAUAAGUUAAAAAUGGUCUGAAAACUAUGAAAAACAAUGAGAUACAACAAGAGAUAAAACAACGUAAACCAGAACCAAGAGAACUACCAACAAGUAGUUCAAAAGAGACAUCAGAUACUGAAAUAAAGCUGGGUGUGGUGGCUCAUGCUUUUAAUCUCAGCACUUUGAGAGGCCGAGGUGGAUGGAUCACCUGAGGUCAGGAGUUCAAGACUAGCUUAGGCAACAUGAUGAAACUGUCUCUACUAAAAAUACAAAAUUGUCCAGGUAUGUUGGUACAUGCCUGUAAUCCUAGCUAUUUGGGAGGCUGAGGUAGGAGAAUCACUUGAACCUGGGAAGUGGAGGUUGCAGUGAGUCAAGAUCAUGCCAGUGCACUCCAGCCUAGGCAAUUAAGUGAGACUCAAUUUCAAAUAAAUAAAUAAAAGAUACUGAAAUUAUCCAAUAUAAAUUGCAGAACCACUAUGCUUACUACAUUCAUAGAGAUAAAAUCAGAGCUUAAAAAUCUCAGCAGGAAGCUAGGUACUAUAGAAUGACACUAAAUGUUUUCCUCCUAAUACCAGGAACUAGAAAAGGAUAUAUGCUGUUGUCCCUUCUAUUUAACAUUGUACUAGAGGUUCUACCCAGGCAAUUAGGAUAAAUAAAAAAAUAAACCAGAUGAAACAAAAGAAAACCCCUCCUGUUCACAAAUUGGAAUACUUAAUAUUGUUAAGAUGGUAAUACUUCUUAACAACAUUGCAGCUAUUUUUAUUUUUGCAGAAAUGAACAAGCUGAUCCUAAAAUUUAUAUGGAAAUGCAAGAGAUCCAGAAUAUACAGACCAAUCUUGAAAAAGAAAAAAGUUAGAGAGCUAUCACUUCCUGAUUUUAAAACAUACUACACAACUACAGUAAUCAAGACACUGUUGUACUGGCACAAAGAUAGACAAGUAGAUCAAUAGAAUAGAAUUGACAAUACAUAAAAAAUACUUUAUGGUAAAUCGGUUUUCGAUAAGGGUGUCAAGACAAUUCAUUGGUGAAAAAUAGUCUUUUUAAAAAAGACUAUUGCUGGGACAAUUGGAUAUCCACAUGCAAAAAAUGAAUUUGAGACAAAGAUCUCACUUUGUUGCCCAGGCUGAUCUUGAACUCCUGGCCUUGAACAAUCCUCCUGCCUUGGCCUCCAAAAGUGCUGGGAUCACAGGUGUAAAUCACACCUGGACUCUUUUCUCAUUCUUAAUAAACUUACUUUUCUGCCUAAUUUUGUAUUCAGAAUUCUAUAUUCUUUUGCUUAUCUUCAUCACAGUUUUUGAUUCUUCCUAGUACUUACCGUGAUUUAAAAUUAUUUUGUUGUUAUUAUUUGCUUUCUUUUUUAGGGGAGUGGGUGAGAACUUACUUUCAUUUUAGAAUGUAAGCCUUCUGAAAGCACUGAAAAUGUAUUGCUUACCAUUCUAUUUCCAGAACUUAUAAAAAUGUUGGAUGAAUAAAUGUAGAGGAGUGAAUAAAGAAUAAUGGAGAAAGGGGGACUAUGGAACUAGCACACAUGUUCUCAGGGCAGGUAUAAACGGGUGAUGAAUCUGGGGCCAAAGUAAAAGGCAUAGACUUAGAUAAAGGGUGACUCCAGGCAGGGAAAUAAGAUAGUCAUUAAGAUUCAGAGGGGGGAUGACCCCAUGCUCAGGGCAGAUUUUGGGCAGCACAGAGGGAACAAGAGAAGUGGGAUGAGCCUCAUGCAGGGGCCAAUUGUGACUGCCUAAGGCUAGUGCUGUUUUCCCAUAAGUGGAUAUUUCCAUUCCCAGCCUCUGAAGUGAUGAGAAUCAUGUUCUGAAAACUCACUAAAAGCAAAGCCCUUCUAUUUUUUCCAGCACUAGCUUUUGCCUGAAGUCAUUACCUAUAAAAGACAGCAUGUGGACAUGAUAUUUUUAAGGACUUUUCUGGUUUUAACAUUUUAUUUUUUUCUGGCUUUUUUUUUUUCCCUCAGACCUUUGUUCUCUGAAUCAUGUAAGCUGGAAAUCUGUCAUUCUUGAUGUUCCCUCUGUCCCUUCACUUUUCCAAAGUUUUAUUGAUAAAUCUUUCUGUUUCCUCUUAUUGAUUCCAAUUUUAGUCUCCAUGUUUCAGAAUUAAUCAACUCCUACUUUUAAGUAAUCUAUCUGGUUCUAGUGCAGUCUCCUCCUCACUUUCCUGGUGUUUGGUUUAUCUUUCAAGUCCCCGUCUUGUUCCUCAUCCGAGUAUUAAAACACAUUUAAGACUAUCCCAAUGUCUCAGAAUAGAGUCUGAAUUCUCUUAUUGGUCCUUUUUUUGAUAGUAAUUUUUCUGGGUUAACUAUUUGUGUAUAUUUAUGUGGUACAUGGGAUAUUUUGAUACAGGUAUGCCAUGCAUAAUAAUCACACCAUGGAGAAUGGGGUGUGCAUCCACUCAAGCAUUUAUCUUUUGUGUUAUAAACAAUCCAAUUAUGUUCUUUUCAUUAUUUUAAAAUGUACAAUUAUUAUUGACUAUAGUCAUCCUGUUGUGCCGAUUCAUUCUUUCUAUUUUUCAUUCAUUCUUCCUGAAGUUAUAUAUUGACUAUAGUCAUCCUGUUGUGCUAUUAUUCAUUCUUUAUAUUGUUUUGUACCCAUUGACCAUGCCCACUUCUCCCCCAAGCCCCCACUACUCUUCUCAGCCUCUGUUAACCAUCCUUCUACUCUCUAUCUCCAAGAGUACAAUUGUUUUGAUUUUUAUAUUCCACAAAUAAUUCUCUGCUUGAUCUUGAAGGGCUCCCGGAUUUCUGUCUCAAUCUACCAUCCAGCUUUAUCUCCUACUACUUCCCUGAAAAAAAACUUCUGCUCCCUCAAACUGGUUUAGAGGGCUAAAAUCAUCAAAAGUAUGGCAAUCAAAAGGAUCACACGAAGUUCUUUCCUCCUUGUAAUGCCCUAUUCAUCAUCUCCUAUCAGGGAUCUUAUAUUAGUCCGUUCUUGCACUGCUAUAAAGAAAAAACUGAGACUGGGUAAUUUAUAAAGAAAAAAGGUUAAAUUGGCUCCUAAUAGGCUGUAUGUACAGGAUGCAUGACAGCUUCUGGGGAGACCUCAGGAAACUUUCAAUUAUGGUGGAAAGCAAAGGGAAAGCAGGCAUGUCUUACAUGACUGGAACAGGAGAAAGAGAGAGAGCAGGGAGGUAUCACACACUUUUUAAACAACUAGAUCUUAUGAGAACUCCCUCACUAUCAGCAUCUGUGAUUUGAUUUAUCACCUCCCACAAGGCCCCACCUCCAAUAUUGGGAAUAACAAUUAGGCACGAGAAUUGAGUCAGGGCACAGAUGCAAACCAUAUUAUUACUCCUCUGACAUCUCCCAAAUCUCAUGUCCUCUUACAUUGCAAAAUACAAUCAUGCCUUUCCAAUAGUUCUCCAAAGUCUUAAUUCAUUCCAGCAUUAACUCAAAAGUCCAAAGUUUCAUCUGAGACAAGCCUAGUCUCUUCUGCCUAUGAGCCUGUAAAAUAAAAAACAACUUAGUUACUUCCAGGAUACAAAGGAAGUAUAGGCAUUGGGUAAAUACUUCUAUUCCGAAAGGAUAAAUUGGCCAAAACAAAGGAGCUACAGGCCCCAUGCAGUUCAAAACUCAACAGGGCAGUCAUUAAAUCUUAAAGCUCCAAAAUAAUCUACUUUGAGUUUGUGUCUCACAUUCAGGGCACAGCGAUGCAAGGGGUGGGCUCCUGAAACCUUGGGCAGCUCCUUCCCUGAGGCUUUGCAGGGUGUAGCCCUCAUAGCUGCUUGCAUAGGCUGGUGUUGGGUGCCUGCCACUUUUCCAGGUACAUGGUGCAAGCUGUCAGUGAAUCUACCAUUCUGGCAUCCUGAUCUGGAAGAUGGUGGCACUCUUUUCACAGCUUCACUAGGCAGUGCCCCAAUGGGGACUGUGUGUUGGGAUUCCAACCCUUCAUUUCCCCUCCAUACUGCCCUAGUAGAGGUUCUCUAUGAGGGUCUUCACCUGUAGCAGCCUUCUGCCUUGAUGUCUAGGCUUUUCCAUACAUCCCCUGAAAUCUAGGUGGAGGAUCCCAAGCCUCAACUCUCAUACUCUGUGCAUCUGCAGGCUUAACACCAUGUGAAAGCUGCCAAGGCUUACAGUUUGCACUCUCUGAAGCAGUGGCCCAAGCUCUACCUUGGCCCCUUUUAGCCACAGCUGGAGGUGGAGUGGCUGGGAUGUAGGGCACCAUGUCCUGAGGCUGCACAGAGCAGCGGGGCUCUGGGCAUGGCUCACAAAACCAUGAUUUCCUCUUAGACCUCCAGGCCUGUGAUGAGAAAAGCUGCUGCAGAGGUCUUUGAAAUGAAUGCCUUUGAGGUCUUUCCCCAUUGGCUUGGCUAUUAACAGUAGACUCCUCUUUACUUAUGCAAAUGUUUGCAGCCUGCUUGAAUUCCUCUCCUGAAAAUGGGUUUUUCUUUUCUAUUGCAUGGUCAAGCUGCAAAUUUUCCAAACUUUUUUUUUUUUUGAGACAGAGUUUCGCUCUUGUUACCCAGGCUGGAGUGCAAUGGCGCAAUAUCGGCUCACCGCAACCUCUGCCUCCUGGGUUCAAGCAAUUCUCCUGCCUCAGCCUCCUGAGUAGCUGGGAUUACAGGCACGCACCACCAUGCCCAGCUAAUUUUUUGUAUCUUUAGUAGAGACGGGUUUCACCAUGUUGACCAGGAUGGUCUCGAUCUCUUGACCUCGUGAUCCACCCGCCUCGGCCUCCCAAAGUGCUGGGAUUACAGGCUUGAGCCAUCGCGCCUGGCCAUAAAUUUUCCAAACUUUUAUGUUCUGCUUCCCUUUUAAAUAUUAGUUCCAGUUUUAGAUAGUUUCUUUGCUCAUGCAUAUAAGCAUAGACUUUCAGAAGCAGUCAGGCCACAUUUUGAACACUUUGCUGCUUAAAAAUUUCUUUUGCCAGAUACCCUAAAUCUUCUCUCUCAAGUUCAGAGUUCCACAGAUCCUUAGAGCAGGGGCAUAAUGCUGCCAGUGUCUUUGCUAAAGCAUAGCAAGAGUGACCUUUACUCCAGUUCCCAAUAAGUUUCUCAUUUCCCUCUGAGACCAUCUCAGUCUGGACUUCACUAUCCAUAUCACUGUUAGCAGUUUGUUCACAACCAUUCAACAAGUUUCUAAGAAGUUCCAAACUUUUUCUUAUUUUCCUGUCUUCUUUUGACCCCUUCAAACUCUUUCAACCUCUACCCAUUACUGUUUCAAAGCUGCUUCUACAUUUUCUGGAAUCUUUAUAGCAAUGUUCCACUCCUGUAUCAAUUUUCUGCAUUGGUUUAUUCUUUCACUGCUAUAAGGAAAUAUUUGAGAGUGGGAAUUUUAUAAAGAAAAGAGGUUUAAUUGGCUUACAGUUCUGCAGGCUGUAUAGGAAGCAUCAUGGCUUCUGGCGAGGCCUCAGGAAACCUUCAAUUAUGGCAAAAGGCAAGGGGAAAGCAAGCACAUAUUACAUGGCUGGAGCAGGAGAAAGAGGGAUGUGGGGAGGUACCAUAUACUUUUAAACAACCAGAUCUUGAGAGAACUCACUUGCUAUCGUGAAAAGAACACCCAGGGGGAAAUAUUGUGCCCAUGAUCUAAUCACAUCUUACCAGGUCAUAACUCAUAGCAUUGAGAAUUACAAUCCAACAAGAGAUUUGAGUGAGGACACAGAUUCAAACCAUAUCAUAUCUUUUAAAUCUUACUUUCUAAAAUAAUACAUGGCCUCCUGCAUGCUGAUGUGGCAUCAAUUAUUUAUAUAGUGCUUGACAUAAGUUACCUUCUUUUAUUUACAAUUCCCUGACCUCAAGUUCUUCUAUAACAUAAAGCAAUUAGUAGAGAUAAUUUUUAAGUUUCCCUCUAACCAUAACAGUCUAUAGUGUGCUAAUUUCCUUGUGUGUAUGUACACACACACACACACACACACACACACACACAGAGAUUAGCAAACUAUAUAUAUAUAUAUAUAUAUAUAUCUUUUCUCUCCAUUUUGAUUGCAAUGUCUUUCAAUUUACCACAUUUUAUUGAAAUUAUACUAUACGUCCACAUUUGUGUUAGGCUCUGUUAGGUAGUGCAAAAAUGAGUAAGAGAGAGUUCUGUAUUCCCAGAGGCUUAUAAUUAUAUAUAAGAAUGGGGGUGGGGAAGACAGAAAGAAAGCAGAGAUAGAUUUACUCACACAAAACUAUUAUAUCAGACAAAUUAAGAGGGUUAUAUUGAAGAAUUACAAGGUAGGAAGAAGGAGGAGAGAGUGAGAGGUUAAUUUUGACUGGGAACAUCUGGAGAGAUGUGAUGGAGCUGAAUUUUGGUUGCUGUGUAAGGCUUUAAAAGUAGACAUGGAGUUUUGAGGAAGGAAGGUGAAGAAAAGAUGAUGAUAAUAAGGGUAUAAGCAUAAAGCAGAAGAAUACAGGGAGGGUCCCAGAAAUGGUAUGGACUCCACUAUGGCCAAAAUGCAGAGGACAUGGAGAAUUAAUUGUCUGAGAUUAGAUUGUUAAAGACCCUGUAUCAUAGGCUAAGUCAUUUGGAUUUUAUUUGUUGCAGCAUUAUUGAAGAUUUAUUGAACAGCACCAUGAUGUAAGUAUUACUGCCUGUUGGCAAAGUGAAGAGAAAAGAUUAAACAGAAGUAUAUAAGCUUGGAAGGGAGACAGGGUCAAGACGCAUGCACACACACAUUUAUUGGUCCUGGAUUUGCCUUUCUGACUCUGAGUGAGAGUGGAGGUGUGUUGGGUAGAGAAACAUGGUGAUAGAGAAUUCCAUGGGGUGCCACUCUCUACAUGGUGGAAAAGGUGGUGGGAGGCCCACCUGAUCCAUUCUUCUACCAGGGUGCUGUAGCACAGAGGCAUUUCCAGAUCUCCUGCUUUUGACAACCUCUCCAAUAAUCCAGGGCUCUCAGGGACUCAACACUUCUGGAACUAAUAGAAAGGAGGUGAGAUUUAAAAUUUAUCUGAUAUAUUGAGGAGUGUGUGUAUGUGUGAGUGUGUGUGUGUGUGUGUGUAGGAAAAUUCAAUCGACAGGAGUUGGAAGGUCUCUUCUUUUGUCUUUUGAAUGUUCCUGUUAUGUUUCUGUCUCUUGGAUGACUUUGAUUAAUUCUCUGGUUCUUGUUUUGCUGCCCACCUCCAAAGUGUUCCACCAUCAGCCUCUUCUCUUCCUGUUUCAAAUGUUUUGUUUGGUGGCCUCCAUGGUUUUGAUUUAAAUUUAUAGAGUGAUGAACCUAGAUCUUUAUCUUUAGAUAAAAACCAGAGCUAGAGGCUUUCAAACAUAAGGAUUUCUUCUGAGACUGAAAUUAAUAACAGUAAAAAAAUUAGUUCUUUAGAAAAUGACGUUGAAAUGUCAGCACGAUGGUAGAAUAAGAGGUUCCAGCCCUCAUCCCCUGACAGAAACACUGAUUUGACAACCAUCUGCAGAUGAAAAUACCUUGUGGGAGCUCUGCAACCCAGUUGAGAGGUUCCAGAGCUCCAGUUAAUCACAAAACCUGAGAUCAGCAGGUUGAAAAGAGUAGGAAGAGUAGUUUCACUUUGCCCAUAUCAUGCCAAAGACUGCCUCUGGCACAUAACUUCACCCUCAGGUGAAGAAGAAAAUAAAGUGAAGGUCUGGAUUCCCCAAUAGAGAUGCCUGUUUCUGUCAUUUCCAGACUGCUAAGACAAUCAGUACAGCUGGGUCAUCUAUGGAGAGCAAAGACAAAGAAAACAGCCAGGGCUCCCAGCAAGCAGCAUGUGUGUCACUGCAGACGCAUCCUGUGUACUUCCGCAGACAAGCUCCUACAUGCCUCCAUAGCUGAUGUCUUGUGUGACCCCACAGAUAGAACCCUGUAUACUCCUGUAGAUGGUGCCGCACAGCUAGCACUGUGCUCCCCAAGAAGUCACUCAGUGCAUCCACACAUAUAGCACUCAAUGCAUUCCUGAACUUUGUAUCCUGUGCAUCCUCAAAGUUGGCAUUUUGUGUGCCCUCAAAGCCAGCACCUAUUGCACUUCUGCAGCCAGCAUCCUACAUGCCCCCAUGAAUGGUCCUCUAUUUGCCUCUGCAUCUGGUGCUCCAUGUGUCCCUGUAGAGGGAUCUCAGAAGCUAGAAGUAUCUUAGCAACAGGUUUGACAUAGGUGUCAUGCUUCUCUGAUUAUUCAUGAUUCUUGUAGCCUUACAUUGAUGCUUCCCUCUUGAAGAAGCAGUUACCUCUUCCAGCCUUUACAGACAAACUGAAUUAAAAAAGGAAUGACCUUCAUGAGACAACCUGGCUACAGAUUCUAGAGGUCUCUCAAAUCUCAAUGGAUGUACCCCCUAUACUGUUUUUGCUCCCUAUUAAGGAGAGAUAAGGCUUAUGUUUGCACGCUUUUUCUUAAUCCCACAAUGUCAUGUUAGGUGCUAAGAGUCAUCCAUUUCUUUUCCCUAGGGUAGUACCCUUAUAUGCCAAGACACUAGAUGAAAGCUCUGUUUCUCUCCUUCUCCAGCAAAGGGGAUGUUUCAAAAUUGCAUGCCUUCCCUAAAUCCUGCAGUCGAGUCUGGCUUCAGGGGCACCUAAAGUGUGCCAUUUUAUUGGCCCUUUUAUUGUUAUAUAGUGAUCACGAAACUCCCGGAACUGACAACCCCCACCCCAUCAAAUGAAAUCUAUAAAUGUCCUGAGAAUUCAAAAUAUCAUCCUAAAGAAACUUAGUAAGCUAUAAGAGAACAACUAUAUAGAUGACUAAAUCAAAUUAGGAAAAAAUACAUGAACAAAACAAGAAGUUCAAUAAAGAGAUAGAAACCGUAAAAAAGAGCUGAACAAAUUUUGGAGCUAAAGAAUACAAUGACCAAAUAGAAAAAUUCAGUAGAGAGCUUCAAUAGCAGACUGAUCUAGUAAAAGAAAGAAUCAGCUAACUUUCUUAAAGACAGGUGAUUUGAAAUUAUCCAAUCAGAGGGGCAAAAAAAAAAAAAAAAAGAAUAAAAAGUAGCAAUGAAAGCUCACAGGACUUAUGGGACACCACAAAGCAAACCAAUUGCACAUUAUGGGAAUAUCAGAGAAAAGAAAGUGAAAGGGGAAGAAGGCUCAUUUAAACAAAUAAUGCCUGAAAAAUUUCCAAAUCUAGGGAGGGAAAUGGACAUCCAAAUUCAUGAAGCUCUAAUGACCCAAAUAGGUUGAACCUUAAGAAAUCUACACCAAGAGACAUUGUACUUAAAUUAUCAAAAGUUAAAGACAGAAUUUUGAAAACAUCAAAAGUGACUCAUCACGUACAAGAAAAUCUCAUAAGAAUACUGAUGAGGUGCCAAAGUUCAGCCGGCUGCCGCUCGAGUAGCCACGGGCGCGAUCCCAACCAGAAGUCUCCUCCAUGACCACUUUGGAAGCUGGGGGAAGAUGUUAAUGGUGACAUCAAUAGCAUAAAAUGUGGAUGAGGGACACAAGUAGUUUUUGUACAUGAAUGAAUGAAAGAUGUCAUCAGCUUAAAAUGACAGCUCCCAGCCGACUACCAGAAAUUACCCUGAGCUCAACAACAAUCAGUACAACAGAAGCAGCAACAGCAAUGGGGGCAACCUGAACAGCCCCCGGGCCCCCAAAGCGCCAAGACAGCGGAGCACAGCACCAUCCUUCAACCCCCCUACACUGGGCUUUCUUCUUCAGCAAGAUUGCUGAGCCAUUCUAUCCCUUCCCUUUAGCCUGAAUCUGUUCAUAACUAAGGCCUUGCUGCUCCAGUGAAAGCUGUUCUUCUCUUAGACACAGUUUCUUCAUCUGGACGAGCAGUGGAGGGGAAAGCAACUUUGUGCUGGAAGAAUAUCUCUGCCUUCUUACCUUAACUUAAAGAGAGCACUUAGAUAACACCUUCAAGAGACAUGAAAACAGAAAACUGGUUAAUGACUACUAUAAGUGCACUGAAACUAUGUUUAUGGAGAUUUCCAUACUUUUAAAGACAGUUUUAAUGUUGAAUUUGGUAUUUUGAAAGGUUAUUUUUAAUGUAUUUUGGUAAUACAAUUUACAUGUACAGUGUUACAUUAUAUAUGUAUUGUGAACUUUAAAAGACUAUUUUGCUAAAUUUAUAAAUAUAUAAAAUUAUGUAAAAACUAGACUAUAUUUUGAUUUAGAUUUUCCUGUUUGCUGCCAAAAAUUUUUAUUUUAAAUCUAUUUAGUUUUAGUAUGGUUUUGUCUCUAAUGAAUAAAUAAUUCCUUCUUAUUAAGAAAAAGUAAGGGAGAAAGGUUUUAGAAAGUGAUUUUUAUGCUCCCACUAUAAAUACAGCAAAUCAGUUCAUUCUUUUGUUAAGUCAGUCUAAUUUAACUGAGUUUAUUGGAAUUUAUCUCCAUUAUCUCCAUAAUGGUGUGGGAUGGCUGAUUUAGGACAAUUCCCUUUCCCAUUGUUUUUGUUGCUGAGCCUGUUAGAGUUAGUUUUGCAUCCAAGGGGGCUUUAAGAAACUUAGCAUGCAGUGGAAGAUCAGAAUUCACUGAAUAUUUCUUUUGAGAGCAUGGUUUUUCUCUGUGAAAUGACUCAAUAUUCCAAAUGUUUUUCUUUCCUUCCUCCUUUCAAAAGAGUUCUUUUUUUAAAAUUUUUUAUUGCAUUUUAGGUUUUGGGGUACAUGAGCUGAACAUGCAAGACAGUUGCGUAGGUACACACAUGGCAGUGUGUUUUGCUUCCUUUCUCCCCUUCACCCACAUUUGGCAUUUCUCCCCAGGCUAUCCCUCCCCACCUCCCCCUCCCACUGGCCCUCCCCUUUUCCCCCCAAUAGACCCCAGUGUUUAGUACUCCCCUCCCUGUGUCCAUGUGUUCUCAUUUUUCAUCACCCACCUAUGAGUGAGAAUAUGCGGUGUUUCAUUUUCUGUUCUUGUGUCAGUUUGCUGAGGAUGGCGUUCUCCAGAUUCAUCCAUGUCCCUACAAACGACUCACACUCAUCAUUUCUGAUUGCUGCAUAAUAUUCCAUGGUGUAUAUGUGCCACAUUUUUCCAAUCCAGUUUAUUAUCAGUGGGCAUUUGGGUUGAUUCCAGGUCUUUGCUAUUGUAAACAGUGCUGCAAUGAACAUUUGUGUACAUGUGUCCUUAUAGUAGAAUGAUUUAUAGUCCUUUGGAUAUAUACCCAGUAAUGGGAUUGCUGGGUCAAAUGGAAUUUCUAUUUCUAAGGCCUUGAGGAAUUGCCACACUGUCUUCCACAAUGGUUGAACUAAUUUACACUCCCACCAACAGUGUAAAAAUGUUCCUUUUUCUCCACAUCCUCUCCAGCAUCUGUUGUCUCCAGAUUUUUUAAUGAUCGCCAUUCUAACUGGCGUGAGAUGGUAUCUCAAUGUGGUUUUGAUUUGCAUCUCUCUGAUCACCAGUGACGAUGAGCAUUUUUUCAUAUGAUUGUUGGCCUCAUAUAUGUCUUCUUUCGUAAAGUGUCUGUUCAUAUCCUUUGCCCACUUUUGAAUGGGCUUGUUUGUUUUUUCCUGUAAAUCUGUUUGAGUUCUUUGUAAAUUCUGGAUAUCAGCCCUUUGUCAGAUGGGUCAACUGCAAACAUUUUUUCCCAUUCUGUUGGUUGCCGAUUCACUCUAGUGACUGUUUCUUUUGCCGUGCAGAAGCUGUGGAGUUUCAUUAGGUCCCAUUUGUCUAUUUUGGCUUUUGUUGCCAAUGCUUUUGGUGUUUUGUUCAUGAAGUCCUUGCCUACUCCUAUGUCCUGGAUAGUUUUGCCUAGAUUUCCUUCUAGGAUUUUUAUGGUGCCAGGUCUUAUGUUUAAGUCUUUAAUCCAUCUGGAGUUAAUUUUAGUGUAAGGUGUCAGGAAGAGGUCCAGUUUCUGCUUUCUGCACAUGGCUAGCCAGUCUUCCCAACACCAUUUGUUAAACAGGGAAUCCUUUCCCCAUUUCAAAAGAGUUCUUAAUCCAAUUAGAAUAUCCUGCUUUGGGUAUGAGGUUGUUGUGGCCUGUAAUCACCCAUGGUUUGACACCAAUUUUAAGUCAAUGGAGAGAAAAAACUGAAAGAGAUGCUGCUAAGUAGUUCUCUAUAUUAAAGGAGAUAUUUUUAAAACAGGGUACAACCCGCUACUAGCAUAUCUGGAACCUAAUAUGAAAAUGAAAGGACCCUUAUAGGUACUCACAGCCCUUUCAUGUAAGUAUGAUGUGAUAUAUUUAGGUCUUCAGAAGCCUGUAGGUUUCAUUUCUGUGAGGAAUCGAGAAGCCUUAGGUCCUGAUAUCCUUCCAGGCUGCUUAAGGAUGGACUGCUUUGACACUGAAAGUGCUAGUUAAACGGAUUCAUAUGAAGUGCUUUACUCCCAACCAUUGAGUUAUUUAUAAUGUAUUUAUUGGGGGGUACCUUGAAUCUAUUAUGUGUACUUCAUCAAAACAUCUUGUUCAUGUUUUAUGUUUUUAAAAAGGCAUUUGAAUGAAUGUUUGACUCAGGUUUGUUAAAUUAACCUUCAAUAACUGCAGUACCAAAAAUUAUACCCAACUGCUGAAAGAAAUGAAUUGUAUGAUUUAAGAAUCAAAAGCUAAAAUAAGAAUUAUGUAUCUUUUCUAAAGUUGAAAAAAUAAAAUAUUUUAUUAUGUGUUAUUAUAAAAAUUGGUUGAUUGUAUAGGAAGAUGAUAGUUUUUUUCAAGUUAUCAUAAAAAGUAAUUCAGAUGAUAUUUGAAAAGUAGGGGAAAGGGAACCAUGUUGACAGUUUUAAUUCUGUGAAAAUACUAAUUUGUGUGAAGCUAUUAAAAUGAUUGUAAAGUUGACUACUGUAAAUGUUCUAUAAUUAUGUGUGUAUAUAUGUCAUAUGUAUGUACAUGUGUAUGUCUUAAAUUACUUUACACAUGUGCAUACAUAGAUACACCAAGAAAUGGAUGUAUAUAAUAUAGAAAGUAUAUAGCAAAGUAAUUUUACUCUGAUAAUAAAAAUUGUUUGACAUGUA
Molecule: non-coding RNA, 25950 nt
Organism: Callithrix jacchus (white-tufted-ear marmoset)
Lineage: Eukaryota; Metazoa; Chordata; Mammalia; Primates; Cebidae
Source: RefSeq, a predicted model, not a curated record